UACGUAGGGCGCAAGCGUUAUCCGGAAUUAUUGGGCGUAAAGAGCUCGUAGGCGGUGUGUCACGUCGGCCGUGAAAACUUGCAGCUUAACUGUGGGCGUGCGGUCGAUACGGGCAUCACUGGAGUUCGGCAGGGGAGACUGGAAUUCCUGGUGUAGCGGUGAAAUGCGCAGAUAUCAGGAGGAACACCGGUGGCGAAGGCGGGUCUCUGGGCCGAUACUGACGCUGAGGAGCGAAAGCGUGGGGAGCAAACAGG
This 254-nucleotide ribosomal RNA is filed under the name uncultured bacterium. RNAcentral's name for it is "partial 16S ribosomal RNA". It matches the Rfam family "Bacterial small subunit ribosomal RNA", at positions 524 to 776 of the family's 1533-position model. The record is from RNAcentral.